This 304-nucleotide ribosomal RNA is filed under the name uncultured bacterium. RNAcentral's name for it is "partial 16S ribosomal RNA". It matches the Rfam family "Bacterial small subunit ribosomal RNA", at positions 506 to 807 of the family's 1533-position model. The record is from RNAcentral.
CAGCAGUAGCCGCGGUAAUACGUAGGGCGCAAGCGUUAUCCGGAAUUAUUGGGCGUAAAGAGCUCGUAGGCGGUUUGUCGCGUCUGCCGUGAAAGUCCGGGGCUCAACCCCGGAUCUGCGGUGGGUACGGGCAGACUAGAGUGAUGUAGGGGAGACUGGAAUUCCUGGUGUAGCGGUGAAAUGCGCAGAUAUCAGGAGGAACACCGAUGGCGAAGGCAGGUCUCUGGGCAUUAACUGACGCUGAGGAGCGAAAGCAUGGGGAGCGAACAGGAUUAGAUACCCGCGUAGUCCCUGUCUCUUAUAC